CUGCUGGGCUCCGCCUUAGCCUUCCGAGUAGCCGGAAUUACAGCUACUGGUAACGUGUUUUUAUAAAUGCGGAAGGCUUGCUUAGUUGCAGAUUUUGGAGACUUUAUAAAGGUUUGAGGAGAGCUGGCUUCAUGGAGCUACAGUUCAUGGAGCAGGUGUUAAUGCAAAGGACUAAAUUUACAUUUGAAGAAGUACAAGUGACAAGCUGUUUUAAAAUUACAAUGUGCCUGAAAAGGAAAAAAUUGAAGACUCAGUGACCACAGCAAGCAAGCAUAGCAUGCAGCUUACCCAUUGAAAGGGUCUCCUGGAAUAUAGUGGUGUGAUUACAGCCCACUGCAGCCUUGGACACCUGGAACUAGAGGUGUGAGCCACUGUUCCUGGCCUCAAAGUGGUCUUUGCAGGUAAUUUGGAUCCUUAGCCUGGAGGAGCCUACUGAAGAUUAUUGCCCAUACAGGUCUUCAGCUCCAGGCCUCAAGCUGUUCUCCCAUCACAGCCUCCCAAAAGUGCUGGAAUUUAUAGGCAUGAGCCACACAACCCAGCCUCAUUCAGCUUUAAUAAAUUUGUACAAGCAA
Molecule: long non-coding RNA, 572 nt
Organism: Carlito syrichta (Philippine tarsier)
Lineage: Eukaryota; Metazoa; Chordata; Mammalia; Primates; Tarsiidae
Exons: 7
Source: RefSeq, a predicted model, not a curated record